ACUCCUACGGGAGGCAGCAGUGGGGAAUAUUGGACAAUGGGCGCAAGCCUGAUCCAGCCAUGCCGCGUGAGUGAUGAAGGCCCUAGGGUUGUAAAGCUCUUUCACCGGUGAAGAUAAUGACGGUAACCGGAGAAGAAGCCCCGGCUAACUUCGUGCCAGCAGCCGGGGUAAUACGAAGGGGGCUAGCGUUGUUCGGAUUUACUGGGCGUAAAGCGCACGUAGGCGGACUAUUAAGUCAGGGGUGAAAUCCCGGGGCUCAACCCCGGAACUGCCUUUGAUACUGGUAGUCUUGAGUUCGAGAGAGGUGAGUGGAAUUCCGAGUGUAGAGGUGAAAUUCGUAGAUAUUCGGAGGAACACCAGUGGCGAAGGCGGCUCACUGGCUCGAUACUGACGCUGAGGUGCGAAAGCGUGGGGAGCAAACAGGAUUAGAUACCCCAGUAGUCCCAUG
This 448-nucleotide ribosomal RNA is filed under the name uncultured organism. RNAcentral describes it as "partial 16S ribosomal RNA". It matches the Rfam family "Bacterial small subunit ribosomal RNA", at positions 335 to 799 of the family's 1533-position model. The record is from RNAcentral.